Molecule: ribosomal RNA, 163 nt
Filed under: x Calammophila baltica
Lineage: Eukaryota; Viridiplantae; Streptophyta; Magnoliopsida; Poales; Poaceae
Also listed under: 1 other name
Description: 5.8S ribosomal RNA
Rfam family: 5.8S ribosomal RNA
About the family: 5.8S ribosomal RNA (5.8S rRNA) is a component of the large subunit of the eukaryotic ribosome.
Source: RNAcentral
CACACGACUCUCGGCAACGGAUAUCUCGGCUCUCGCAUCGAUGAAGAACGUAGCGAAAUGCGAUACCUGGUGUGAAUUGCAGAAUCCCGCGAACCAUCGAGUCUUUGAACGCAAGUUGCGCCCGAGGCCAUUCGGCCGAGGGCACGCCUGCCUGGGCGUCACA